RNAcentral lists this ribosomal RNA (427 nucleotides) under uncultured Halomonas sp. RNAcentral describes it as "bacterial SSU rRNA". It matches the Rfam family "Bacterial small subunit ribosomal RNA", at positions 355 to 774 of the family's 1533-position model. Lineage: Bacteria; Pseudomonadati; Pseudomonadota; Gammaproteobacteria; Oceanospirillales; Halomonadaceae. The record is from RNAcentral.
UGGGGAAUAUUGGACAAUGGGCGAAAGCCUGAUCCAGCCAUGCCGCGUGUGUGAAGAAGGCCCUCGGGUUGUAAAGCACUUUCAGUGGGGAAGAAAGCCUUGGGAUUAAUACUCCCGAGGAAGGACAUCACCCACAGAAGAAGCACCGGCUAACUCCGUGCCAGCAGCCGCGGUAAUACGGAGGGUGCGAGCGUUAAUCGGAAUUACUGGGCGUAAAGCGCGCGUAGGCGGUCUGAUAAGCCGGUUGUGAAAGCCCCGGGCUCAACCUGGGAACGGCAUCCGGAACUGUCAAGCUAGAGUGCAGGAGAGGAAGGUAGAAUUCCCGGUGUAGCGGUGAAAUGCGUAGAGAUCGGGAGGAAUACCAGUGGCGAAGGCGGCCUUCUGGACUGACACUGACACUGAGGUGCGAAAGCGUGGGUAGCAAACA